UUGAAUGUCCCUCUUUUGUAUGCUUAGUAUUGCCAUGGAUAGUAUUUGAUAGCUCAGACAGAGGCACAUGUACCAUUGAUGUACAAGUACAAUGACCCCAACACCAAGCAACAAUACAAAUUCCUUCCUACACAAGUAAUAUCCAAAUUUGCAAACCCUAUCUUACCAAAUCCUAAUAUUCCAUGCAACAUUGUUUCCAGAUUAUAGGAAUGUUGCAGCUGGAUUACUAACGGUCUCAGCAGACCCUUUCCAAUUGCAGAACUCUGCCCUUAAAUGGAAGUACCCACGAAAGAAGACAGAAAUUGCGCAGCUGCAAAGAUAACUAGACAACUGAGUUUCACCGCCAUUCUCAAAACAGGAAACCUUAAAACCAAAUUCUUCAGACGCAAUCGAUAACAAGGAAACCAUUCUUCAACAUAAAUAUGACCACCAUUCUCAAGAAGCAAAAGCAUCAUUCUAACUGUAACCAUGGAGAAAGUACUAGUACUGAGAAUGGUUACCUACGUUCUGAUAGCUGUUUCUUUCUGUGCUUUCUUCGACUGCUGCUGCUGCACCCACACACAUGGAGGAGAGGUUUAACAAAUGGAUGGCGAAAUACAACAGGACAUACAAGAGCGGAGACGAGUAUUUGAGUCAUUUCCAGAUAUACCAGUCAAAUCUUCGUCUCAUUCAGCGUGUCAAUUCUCUGAAUCAGUCAUACUAGCUGACUGAUAGCAAGUUUGCUGACUUGACUCAUGAGGAGUUCAAAUCAAUGUACCUUCGU
RNAcentral lists this long non-coding RNA (763 nucleotides) under Linum usitatissimum (flax). RNAcentral describes it as "long non-coding RNA (LUSI_LNC007522)". Lineage: Eukaryota; Viridiplantae; Streptophyta; Magnoliopsida; Malpighiales; Linaceae. The record is from RNAcentral.